Molecule: transfer RNA, 68 nt
Filed under: Myotis brandtii (Brandt's bat)
Lineage: Eukaryota; Metazoa; Chordata; Mammalia; Chiroptera; Vespertilionidae
Rfam family: tRNA
About the family: Transfer RNA (tRNA) molecules are approximately 80 nucleotides in length.
Source: Rfam by way of RNAcentral
GCUGGUUUGGCACAGUGGAUAGAGCAUCAGUCUGACUGAAGGGUUCAGGGUUCGAUUCCCAUUCAGCA